CCUACGGGAGGCAGCAGUGAGGAAUCUUGGUCAAUGGGCGCGAGCCUGAACCAGCCAAGUAGCGUGAAGGAUGACUGCCCUACGGGUUGUAAACUUCUUUUAUAAAGGAAUAAAGUGAGGCACGUGUGCCUGUUUGUAUGUACUUUAUGAAUAAGGAUCGGCUAACUCCGUGCAAGCAGCCGAGGUAAUACGGAGGGUCCGAGCGUUAUCCGGAUUUAUUGGGUUUAAAGGGAGCGUAGAUGGGUUGGUAAGUCCAUUGUGAAAGUUGGCGGCUCAACCGUAAAAUUGCAAUUGAUACUGGCAGUCUUGAGUACAGUUGAGGUAGGCGGAAUUCGUGGUGUAGCGGUGAAAUGCUUAGAGAUCACGAAGAACUCCGAUUGCGAAGGCAGCUUACUAAACUGCCACUGACAUUGAUGCACGAAAGUGUGGGUAUCAAACAGGAUUAGAUACCCUUGUAGUC
This 460-nucleotide ribosomal RNA is filed under the name uncultured bacterium. RNAcentral's name for it is "partial 16S ribosomal RNA". It matches the Rfam family "Bacterial small subunit ribosomal RNA", at positions 338 to 795 of the family's 1533-position model. The record is from RNAcentral.